GACGAACGCUGGCGGCGUGCCUAAUACAUGCAAGUCGAACGCACAGUUUAUACCGUAGCUUGCUACACCAUAGACUGUGAGUUGCGAACGGGUGAGUAACGCGUAGGUAACCUGCCUGGUAGCGGGGGAUAACUAUUGGAAACGAUAGCUAAUACCGCAUAAUAUUGAUUAUUGCAUGAUAAUUAAUUGAAAGGUGCAAUUGCACCACUACCAGAUGGACCUGCGUUGUAUUAGCUAGUAGGUGAGGUAACGGCUCACCUAGGCGACGAUACAUAGCCGACCGGGGAGGGUGAUCGGCCAAACUGGGACGGAGACACGGCCCAGACUCCUACGGGAGGCAGCAGUAGGGAAUCUUCGGCAAUGGACGAAAGUCUGACCGAGCAACGCCGCGUGAGUGAAGAAGGUUUUCGGAUCGUAAAGCUCGGUUGUAAGAGAAGAACGGGUGUGAGAGUGGAAAGUUCACACUGUGACGGUAUCUGACCAGAAAGGGACGGCUAACUACGUG
This 505-nucleotide ribosomal RNA is filed under the name uncultured bacterium. Its description in RNAcentral is "partial 16S ribosomal RNA". It matches the Rfam family "Bacterial small subunit ribosomal RNA", at positions 28 to 507 of the family's 1533-position model. The record is from RNAcentral.